Vespa velutina is the source of this 2217-nucleotide RNA transcript. It is a transcript of the gene named E3 ubiquitin-protein ligase parkin, with no coding region annotated. The record is from RefSeq and is a predicted model, not a curated record. The transcript has 7 exons. NCBI's taxonomy places the organism in Eukaryota, Metazoa, Arthropoda, Insecta, Hymenoptera, Vespidae.
AUAACUUUUUUUUCCUUUCCAUACUUCAAAUAUGAUUUUUGGCAAUAUUAGCAAAUUUUUAUUAUUGGGUUGAUAACGGAAAAGUUUUUAUAAUUUUUUUUUAUCAAUUCUACGAUGAUUAAGGUCAACGUUAUCGAUAUUACAAUAUGUAUAGAAUCGCAAAUGAGUGUUUGCAGAGAGCGUUAGUUAUCAGGCAUAUAUAGUUGUUCUCAUAUUGUAGUCUCUUAUAUUGGUUAUCUAUGAUGGAAGUAAUUCUAGUCUCUCAUAUUGGUUAUCUAUGAUAGUAGAGGUUAUGUUCGUUUAGGCUUUAUUGUUGUUAAUUAUGUUUAUUGUAUCUUCUGACUGUGCAAUGGUUAGAAGAUUGUACAAAAUACAUUAUUAUCGUUAUGAGUUUCUUGUUUGAUUUAGUAAAAAACGCAUUUAUCAGGAUGUUAGAGCUUUUAUGGUUUGGUAAAAAGAAAAUUAGCAAUUCAUUAAGUAUAUAUAUCAAAACAAAUACAGGAAAUACUCUAUCUGUGGAUUUAGAUCCUAAAUGGGAUAUAAAAAAUGUGAAAGAAAUAUUAGCACCCCGAAUGGGGAUGGCACCAGAAGAUAUUAAAAUUAUUUUCGCUGGUAAAGAACUACAUAAUUCAACAGUAAUAGAGGAAUGUGAUUUGGGUCAGCAAAGCAUUCUUCAUGCUGUUCAAAAUCGUCAUCAAAGACUUAAUAAGAGUAUAAAUUCUGUAAAUAUUAUCGAAGAGGUGGUAACAGAAGGAUCUGAUUUUGAUUCGACAAUUAGUAGUAGUGGGAGUAAACCAAUGAAUGAAACUCUUACAGAUUUGCCAUUAGAAGAAACAGAUCAGACAAAUUCAUCCACAGAUGAGCAACGAGAAACUCGAGCACAUUUUUACGUAUAUUGUUCAAAGCCGUGCAAAGCUGUAACUACAGGGAAGUUAAGAGUCAAAUGUGCAUCUUGUGGUAGCGGUGCUGUUACAGUAGAUAGAGAUCCACAAUGUUGGCCAGAUGUUUUACAACCUAAAAGAAUAACGGUUCAUUGCGAAAAUGAGUUAUGCGAGUUAUCUGUAUCUUCUAAUGAAGAUACCGAUUUACAAGUUUUUUAUGCUCAAUUCUUUUUCAAGUGUGCAAAUCAUAUUAGUUUAGGUGAAGAUGACCAGGCAGUACCACUUUAUUAUAUCAAGCCAAAUUCCAUGAAUGUACCUUGUCUCGCUUGUACAGAUAUAAGGGAUACAGUAUUGGUUUUUCCUUGCGAAGCAGCCCAUGUAACUUGCUUAGAUUGCUUUAAAGAAUAUUGUUCUGUACGUUUACGCGAGCGUCAGUUUCAAUUUGAAGCAACAAAAGGUUACUAUACUCUUCCCUGUCCCGCAGGAUGUUCCAACUCUUUUAUUACAGAAGUCCAUCAUUUUCAUCUUCUUAAUCCACAGCAGUAUGAGCAAUAUCAACGAUUUAGUACAGAGGAAUAUGUUUUACGAGAGGGUGGACUUCUUUGUCCAAGGCCAGAUUGUGGUAUGGGUAUAAUACCACCAUCUAUAGAAGAUGGUGCAAAUGAAGAAGAAUGUCGUAAAAUUCAAUGUUUUGCAGGUUGUGGUAAGAUGUUUACAAGGAUUUCAUGUGGGAGAAUGCGAAUUACAAUCUUCAGAGGCAUCUAAUAACAAAUCUAUAUCUAACGGAUAUACCAUUGAUCCCCAGAAGGCUAAAGAUGCUAAAUGGGAUGAGGCUAGUAAAAAAACCAUACAAAUAUCGACUAAACCUUGUCCAAAAUGUAGGACACCUACCGAAAGAGAUGGUAUUCAUAGUUUCUGAAAACUUUCUAUCAAACCAGUUAAUUUUUUAUUUUCGAAAAAUACUUCGAAAUUGUUAUUUCUUUAGGUGGAUGCAUGCAUAUGGUUUGCACACGAGCAGGCUGUGGUUUUCAGUGGUGUUGGGUUUGCCAAACUCAAUGGACGAGAGAUUGCAUGGGUAGUCAUUGGUUCGGAUAGAGGAAUACGUUAAUUUAACGUUAAUUUUUAUAACUACCGUUAUUACUAAUUUAUUUUCUGACAAUGUAAUUUAUCAAUAAUCGGAUAAAUUAUUUUCUUGUCAUAAAAAUUAGUUUGUUUUGUUAAUCUUUUGUUUCCUACUGAUAGAGUAUAUUUUUUUGUAAUGUUUUCAGAAUUCGUUAAAUUUAUCUAACAACCUUAUAUUUUCAAAAUAUGCAGUAAAAAUUAAUUUGCAAUGGAA